This 608-nucleotide long non-coding RNA is filed under the name Numida meleagris (helmeted guineafowl). Its description in RNAcentral is "lncRNA (ENSNMEG00000010192.1)". The record is from RNAcentral. Lineage: Eukaryota; Metazoa; Chordata; Aves; Galliformes; Numididae.
CGGGGCGGGGGUAGCCGGGCAGAGCACCGCGCUGCGGGCGGGGCGAGCGCUGCGGAGGUGCCGCGGCCGCUGGGUCCGCGGCGGCUUCCCUCUGUUGGGAGUAUUAUUUCUUAAGUUAUAAAUCCCCCCCCCUCCCCAACUUCUGCGAGCAUCGUAUCCGCCGCUCCCAGCCCUGCAAGGCGCGGGGCAGAGCGCACCCAGCCGCUCGCCCACCUCUCGCUCCGCUCGUACGGCCGCGCGGUGCCGGCGCUGCCCGCAAAGCCCUAUCCGUCGCGGGGGCACGGCGCGUCUCGGGGCGCUGCCUCGCGGGAAGGUUCCAGAAGCGCGGCGGCGUGGCCGUGGGCGUGCGGCAUGCGCCCACCUCCUGCGGCGAUGGCUGCGGUGCGGCAGCCCCGGGAGGUGGCACGCAGAGCCCCGCGCCUGCUGCGCCCGGAGCCAUCGCGGACCGGGCAGCCGGCGGACAGCGUCGGGCUGUGCUGCUUUAUCGAGGUCCCAAGAUGGCCGCCGCCGCCUGGCCCCCUCCUCCUGCGGUUUGCUGCGACGCGUGGAUUGGUUGCAACAAAGCAGGACUGCAGCACGUUGCAGGUGUUUGGAAUUGGGGUGGGUAG